RNAcentral lists this unclassified non-coding RNA (32 nucleotides) under Cuora trifasciata (three-banded box turtle). Its description in RNAcentral is "partial contains tRNA-His, tRNA-Ser and tRNA-Leu". The record is from RNAcentral. Lineage: Eukaryota; Metazoa; Chordata; Testudines; Geoemydidae.
GCGCCCUUCACCGUUAAUAUAGUUUCAAAACA